Pyrgilauda ruficollis (rufous-necked snowfinch) is the source of this 998-nucleotide long non-coding RNA. RefSeq lists it as uncharacterized. The transcript is spliced from 3 exons. NCBI's taxonomy places the organism in Eukaryota, Metazoa, Chordata, Aves, Passeriformes, Passeridae. The record is from RefSeq and is a predicted model, not a curated record.
AAGCCCUCCAGCCUCAGCUGAGCGAGCACCAAAGGACAUGCUCCAGUACAGCUAGGCACACGCAUCUGUGUGGCCUAGCUGAAUCUGACCCAAGGUCAUGAACAGCAGAAAGCCAGUCUGAUGCCAAGAUGUUGCCAUACCUUUGGCAGACACCUGAAGAAAGGAGAAGUGAAAGUGUGAAGCCAUACAUUGCCUUAGCACAACCACACUCAUGCAGGUGGAAAAAUGACAAGGCGUGCGUUCUCCAUCCCUGGAGAUAUUCAAGACUGGAUAAAGCUGUGAGCAAUCUGGUCAGAUCUUCAGCCAACCCUGAUUUGAACAAGAUGUUGAUCUGGAAACUUCCAGAGGUGUCUUCCAACCUGAACUAUGCUGUACCUGUUGCAACUUAAGGAUGGUGUGAUGUUGCCUCCCAUGCUUAGCAGAAUAGCAACUUCUGGCCUUUAUUUCCUGGCCAGAGUCAAGUACCUGAUCUCUGCUGAAGAAAACUCUUCCAUUUAUCAUGCUUCACCAGGAAGAGUCAUUGGGUAUGGUUACAGAAGCAGCUCAAUCCCAUAAUGCAAGACUUAUCCACAAACAUUUCCAGUUAGCUUAAAUCGUGAGCUCCUAAACCAAUGAGUGCUGACACUUCGCAUUGCACUGUGUGGACAUAAAAUGUAGCUGGGCAUUUAAGUGAUGAGCAGAAAUUCCUCCUAAUCUUGUCAUAUUCCCUUGAUGGCAGUCAUGAGGUGCAACACAGACUAUUCCCUAGUGCCUGUCAUGCCUCACCUUAUGAAUACCCCAAAUACACAACUUUGCUUCCAGAGAUUUUUUAGAGUUCUGCUAAUUCUUUUUUGUUCUUUCCAUGUCUAUCUUUCCAUUUACUGGCAAGUAUUUUCUCUUCAUUUAUGCACAUAAACCACAUAACACCAAAGUUAUGCACCCUCAAGUCUACUCCUCCAUGCAACCUUUUCUCACGAUGAGCAGCGGUUGUAAAUGUACUAAAGCUGAGAAGAGACACA